This 202-nucleotide unclassified non-coding RNA is filed under the name Ascomycota sp. RNAcentral's name for it is "partial contains small subunit ribosomal RNA, internal transcribed spacer 1, and 5.8S ribosomal RNA". The stretch from base 1 to 47 matches the Rfam family "Eukaryotic small subunit ribosomal RNA", at positions 1785 to 1831 of the family's 1831-position model. Lineage: Eukaryota; Fungi; Ascomycota. The record is from RNAcentral.
AAAGUCGUAACAAGGUUUCCGUAGGUGAACCUGCGGAAGGAUCAUUAGCGUAAAGUGCGCCGAAAGGUGAAGUGCCCGAAAGGGCUUAAUCAUAACCCAUGUGUGACAUCAAUCUUCUCCUAGUCCUGUCAACCCCAUAACCAGACUGUCUGAGAUUUAAGACAAUCAUUUAAAACUUUCAACAACGGAUCUCUUGGCUCUG